UACGGAGGGGGUUAGCGUUGUUCGGAAUUACUGGGCGUAAAGCGCGCGUAGGCGGACCAGAAAGUUGGGGGUGAAAUCCCGGGGCUCAACCCCGGAACGGCCUCCAAAACUCCUGGUCUUGAGUUCGAGAGAGGUGAGUGGAAUUCCGUGUGUAGAGGUGAAAUUCGUAGAUAUUCGGAGGAACACCAGUGGCGAAGGCGGCUCACUGGCUCGAUACUGACGCUGAGGUGCGAAAGUGUGGGGAGCAAACAGG
This 253-nucleotide ribosomal RNA is filed under the name uncultured bacterium. RNAcentral describes it as "partial 16S ribosomal RNA". It matches the Rfam family "Bacterial small subunit ribosomal RNA", at positions 524 to 776 of the family's 1533-position model. The record is from RNAcentral.